UCGGCCCGACCCUCCGUCCGCAGGGUCGAAACCAAGAGCGCCCGGGGGCGGCUAAGUUUAGCCGCCUCAGCGUGCCUAAAAGCAAAAUAACCUUGAUGCCGUUUUUGGGUGCGUGUUUUUGUCUCUGACACUGCACAUUCCAGAAUGAAGGAUUUAUCUCUAAAUCACUGCGUGGCCACUUUGGAAACAAAACCAUUGGCCGCACGUAACUGAAACGAUGGCUAGUCGGUGGGAAAGCGCGGAGGAAAACUGGCCGCGGGUGAAGUUUGUCAACAGAUGCCACCACAGUCCGUCUGGGUACGAACUGAGAGUCCACGGUACAGCAGAGCAACCUACACACAUUGCAAUGACAUUGAUUGCUCGCCCCGACACAUCCCUGAGAAUCUCCUCUGAGGUGAAACAAAACCCACCGUGGAUGGACAAAAGACGCUUGAUUCGAUUUAUGAAUUCGAUCAGUUUCCCAGAUGAAUCAGAACACAGAACUCCCAUUGGGUUGUUGUUAGGAUCCCAGUGACACGCUGGAGGUGUGUAAUCAGCUAGUUCCCACAGACACCAUCUAAUACCGC
RNAcentral lists this long non-coding RNA (566 nucleotides) under Betta splendens (Siamese fighting fish). RNAcentral describes it as "lncRNA (ENSBSLG00000004966.1)". Lineage: Eukaryota; Metazoa; Chordata; Actinopteri; Anabantiformes; Osphronemidae. The record is from RNAcentral.